UUUAACUGAGCGUUCAGUUACUUGACGUAGACCCGAAACCGGGCGACCUACCCAUGAGCAGGAUGAAGCGAAAGUAAAAUUUCGUGGAGGUCCGAACCCACGAGCGUUGAAAAGCUCGGGGAUGACUUGUGGGUAGCGGUGAAAUUCCAAUCGAGCCCGGAGAUAGCUGGUUCUCCCCGAAAUAGCUUUAGGGCUAGCCUCAAGGUGAGAGAUACGGAGGUAGAGCACUGAAUGUCCUAGGGGGUAUUGCACCUACCGAAGACUAUCAAACUCCGAAUGCCGUCAUCUUAUACUUGGGAGUCAGACUGUGGGUGAUAAGAUUCAUAGUCGAAAGGGCAACAGCCCAGAUCGUCAGCUAAGGUCCCUAAAUGUAAGUUAAGUGGUAAAGGAUGUGGGAUUGCACAGACAACCAGGAUGUUGGCUUAGAAGCAGCCACUCAUUCAAAGAGUGCGUAAUAGCUCACUGGUCGAGUGAUCCUGCGCCGAAGAUUUCCGGGGCUAAAACUUACUACCGAAGCUACGGCAUCAGUAAUGAUGGGUAGGGGAGCUUCCCAUACGGGUUGAAGCAUGACCGUAAGGACAUGUGGACAGUAUGGGAGUGAGAAUGUUGGCAUGAGUAGCGAGAUGUGGGUGAGAAUCCCACAGGCCGUAAACCCAAGGUUUCCAGGGGAAGGUUCGUCCGCCCUGGGUUAGUCGGGACCUAAGCUGAGGCCGAAAGGCGUAGGUGAUGGACAACAGGUUGAUAUUCCUGUACUACCGAUAACCGUUUGAGAGAAGGGAUGACACAGUAGGAUAAGCUAAGCACACUGUUGGUUAUGUGUGCCCAAGCAUUGAGGCAGUCAAAGUAGGCAA
RNAcentral lists this ribosomal RNA (851 nucleotides) under Clostridioides difficile. RNAcentral's name for it is "partial 23S ribosomal RNA". It matches the Rfam family "Bacterial large subunit ribosomal RNA", at positions 683 to 1539 of the family's 2925-position model. Lineage: Bacteria; Bacillati; Bacillota; Clostridia; Peptostreptococcales; Peptostreptococcaceae. The record is from RNAcentral.